UCCUACACUGGUGGACAUGGCAGCAUAUGCCCCUUCGAACGGUGCACCGGCUAUGUUUGUGGCCACACCGAUUGUGGAUCGUGGUCAGACUAUUGGGG
RNAcentral lists this transfer RNA (98 nucleotides) under bacterium BMS3Bbin04. Its description in RNAcentral is "tRNA-Ser". The record is from RNAcentral.